UUAAGCGACUAAGCGUACACGGUGGAUGCCCUGGCAGUCAGAGGCGAUGAAGGACGUGCUAAUCUGCGAUAAGCGUCGGUGAGGUGAUAUGAACCGUUAUAACCGGCGAUUUCCGAAUGGGGAAACCCAGUGUGUUUCGACACACUAUCAUUAACUGAAUCCAUAGGUUAAUGAGGCGAACCGGGGGAACUGAAACAUCUAAGUACCCCGAGGAAAAGAAAUCAACCGAGAUUCCCCCAGUAGCGGCGAGCGAACGGGGAGGAGCCCAGAGCCUGAAUCAGUGUGUGUGUUAGUGGAAGCGUCUGGAAAGGCGUGCGAUACAGGGUGACAGCCCCGUACACAAAAAUGCACAUAUUGUGAGCUCGAUGAGUAGGGCGGGACACGUGGUAUCCUGUCUGAAUAUGGGGGGACCAUCCUCCAAGGCUAAAUACUCCUGACUGACCGAUAGUGAACCAGUACCGUGAGGGAAAGGCGAAAAGAACCCCGGCGAGGGGAGUGAAAAAGAACCUGAAACCGUGUACGUACAAGCAGUGGGAGCCUCUUGAUGGGGUGACUGCGUACCUUUUGUAUAAUGGGUCAGCGACUUAUAUUCUGUAGCAAGGUUAACCGAAUAGGGGAGCCGAAGGGAAACCGAGUCUUAACUGGGCGUUAAGUUGCAGGGUAUAGACCCGAAACCCGGUGAUCUAGCCAUGGGCAGGUUGAAGGUUGGGUAACACUAACUGGAGGACCGAACCGACUAAUGUUGAAAAAUUAGCGGAUGACUUGUGGCUGGGGGUGAAAGGCCAAUCAAACCGGGAGAUAGCUGGUUCUCCCCGAAAGCUAUUUAGGUAGCGCCUCGUGAAUUCAUCUCCGGGGGUAGAGCACUGUUUCGGCAAGGGGGUCAUCCCGACUUACCAACCCGAUGCAAACUGCGAAUACCGGAGAAUGUUAUCACGGGAGACACACGGCGGGUGCUAACGUCCGUCGUGAAGAGGGAAACAACCCAGACCGCCAGCUAAGGUCCCAAAGUCAUGGUUAAGUGGGAAACGAUGUGGGAAGGCCCAGACAGCCAGGAUGUUGGCUUAGAAGCAGCCAUCAUUUAAAGAAAGCGUAAUAGCUCACUGGUCGAGUCGGCCUGCGCGGAAGAUGUAACGGGGCUAAACCAUGCACCGAAGCUGCGGCAGCGACACUAUGUGUUGUUGGGUAGGGGAGCGUUCUGUAAGCCUGUGAAGGUGGCCUGUGAGGGUUGCUGGAGGUAUCAGAAGUGCGAAUGCUGACAUAAGUAACGAUAAAGCGGGUGAAAAGCCCGCUCGCCGGAAGACCAAGGGUUCCUGUCCAACGUUAAUCGGGGCAGGGUGAGUCGACCCCUAAGGCGAGGCCGAAAGGCGUAGUCGAUGGGAAACAGGUUAAUAUUCCUGUACUUGGUGUUACUGCGAAGGGGGGACGGAGAAGGCUAUGUUGGCCGGGCGACGGUUGUCCCGGUUUAAGCGUGUAGGCUGGUUUUCCAGGCAAAUCCGGAAAACCAAGGCUGAGGCGUGAUGACGAGGCACUACGGUGCUGAAGCGACAAAUGCCCUGCUUCCAGGAAAAGCCUCUAAGCAUCAGGUAACAUCAAAUCGUACCCCAAACCGACACAGGUGGUCAGGUAGAGAAUACCAAGGCGCUUGAGAGAACUCGGGUGAAGGAACUAGGCAAAAUGGUGCCGUAACUUCGGGAGAAGGCACGCUGAUAUGUAGGUGAAGCGACUUGCUCGUGGAGCUGAAAUCAGUCGAAGAUACCAGCUGGCUGCAACUGUUUAUUAAAAACACAGCACUGUGCAAACACGAAAGUGGACGUAUACGGUGUGACGCCUGCCCGGUGCCGGAAGGUUAAUUGAUGGGGUUAGCGGCAACGCGAAGCUCUUGAUCGAAGCCCCGGUAAACGGCGGCCGUAACUAUAACGGUCCUAAGGUAGCGAAAUUCCUUGUCGGGUAAGUUCCGACCUGCACGAAUGGCGUAAUGAUGGCCAGGCUGUCUCCACCCGAGACUCAGUGAAAUUGAACUCGCUGUGAAGAUGCAGUGUACCCGCGGCAAGACGGAAAGACCCCGUGAACCUUUACUAUAGCUUGACACUGAACAUUGAGCCUUGAUGUGUAGGAUAGGUGGGAGGCUUUGAAGUGUGGACGCCAGUCUGCAUGGAGCCGACCUUGAAAUACCACCCUUUAAUGUUUGAUGUUCUAACGUUGGCCCGUAAUCCGGGUUGCGGACAGUGUCUGGUGGGUAGUUUGACUGGGGCGGUCUCCUCCUAAAGAGUAACGGAGGAGCACGAAGGUUGGCUAAUCCUGGUCGGACAUCAGGAGGUUAGUGCAAUGGCAUAAGCCAGCUUGACUGCGAGCGUGACGGCGCGAGCAGGUGCGAAAGCAGGUCAUAGUGAUCCGGUGGUUCUGAAUGGAAGGGCCAUCGCUCAACGGAUAAAAGGUACUCCGGGGAUAACAGGCUGAUACCGCCCAAGAGUUCAUAUCGACGGCGGUGUUUGGCACCUCGAUGUCGGCUCAUCACAUCCUGGGGCUGAAGUAGGUCCCAAGGGUAUGGCUGUUCGCCAUUUAAAGUGGUACGCGAGCUGGGUUUAGAACGUCGUGAGACAGUUCGGUCCCUAUCUGCCGUGGGCGCUGGAGAACUGAGGGGGGCUGCUCCUAGUACGAGAGGACCGGAGUGGACGCAUCACUGGUGUUCGGGUUGUCAUGCCAAUG
Molecule: ribosomal RNA, 2706 nt
Filed under: Escherichia coli KTE67
Lineage: Bacteria; Pseudomonadati; Pseudomonadota; Gammaproteobacteria; Enterobacterales; Enterobacteriaceae
Description: bacterial LSU rRNA
Rfam family: Bacterial large subunit ribosomal RNA
Source: RNAcentral